AGAAGUGGGAGGAGCCAACGACACUGGAAGAACCCAGGUGAUCUUAUAGUUGACUGAAGGGAGCAAGGACGGUGCAUUUGUCUGCGGUCUGGCUUGUGUUUGUGUCGUUCCGCAGUGGCUUUUGUCUUUGGCAUUGUUUUUGCGGCUUAAAGAAGGGAAAAAUGAAAUUAACUUUCAUUCUUCUCGUGGCGGUAUUCGCUACCUCCUACGCCCAGGAUUUGUCGGCAUUGCAGGCGCUGUUCCAACAAACAGUCGGGGGGCAGUCGGGAGGAGGCGGGUCGUCGGCGGGGAAACCGAACAGACCGAAUAGACCGAACAGACCGAACAGGCCCUCUGGAGGUGGAUUUGGUCAGCAGGGAGGCGGAUUUGGACAAGGGGGUGGAUUUGGUCAGCAGGGAGGCGGAUUUGGUCAGCAGGGAGGUGGAUUUGGUCAACAAGGAGGCAGUUUUGGCCAAGGUGGAUUUGGUCAAGGACAAGGAAGCCAGGACUGCAAAUUGUUCUGCAGGAGAGGAAAUGGCUACGUGUGCUGCUAAAAAAAAAAGUUGCACAUCACCUGAUACUGCUGAUUUCAAUAAAUUUCAGCUUGUCAGAUAAAUUAACAUGUGGAUAAACCUUUUGAUGGUGUAAUCUUAAAAUCUUUAUAGAAAUGCUAACGUUUAUGUGAUGUGUUUACGUUUUAAAGGAUAACAACAUAAUUGUUCUUAAUCAUUUAUUGACUGUAUCAAAAAAAAAAAAAAAAAAAAAAUAUAUAUAUAUAUAUGGCAGUGAGGUUACUAAA
Molecule: long non-coding RNA, 778 nt
Organism: Penaeus chinensis
Lineage: Eukaryota; Metazoa; Arthropoda; Malacostraca; Decapoda; Penaeidae
Exons: 4
Source: RefSeq, a predicted model, not a curated record